RNAcentral lists this long non-coding RNA (3982 nucleotides) under Homo sapiens (human). RNAcentral's name for it is "HSALNT0401279". The record is from RNAcentral. Lineage: Eukaryota; Metazoa; Chordata; Mammalia; Primates; Hominidae.
CCUGGUGACAGAGUGAGACUCUGUCUCAAACACACACACACACACACACACCCCAGAUGAGAAGUUGCUGCCUCCGGGAAGUUUCCCUUGACGUGUCCGUGCCCCACGCCUUUGCUUCCAGAUUGCCUUGGACUUAACACGUGUUCCUUAUCAGCUGGCUGCUGUCCUUUGACUUCCACCAGAUGGUGUGCUUCCUGGAGGCACAGGUUCUGUCUUUCAUUAAGACCUGACCCAUCUCAGGACAUAGGAAGCACUCUGGGCAAGAGGUAUGAGCCGGGAUGAAGUGGACUCCUUGUCUGGAGGUGGUGCUACACACCUUGGAGGGGCUCCUGGGAGCUACUGAGAAUGUCCCCUAAGUCAGUAUUCCUGCCUCAGCUGAAAUGCCAGUCUUCAGCCUCAUCUACUGCACACUUGAGUCCAUGAGAUUUUAGAGUGCCCCGCCACCUGCCUUCUACCUGGAGCCUUCCUUCCAGGUCCUUCUUCAACAUCAGCUCCAGGAUCUGCAAGAUCUUUGGAUAUGGCCGCUGCAGAAGGAAGGAGAACCACUUCCUGGAGAAGCAGGAGUGAGCCAGGAUCUGCCACACAAGAGAGCCGGGAACCCAGGGCAUGGGUUAAGGCGAGGAGCAGGUCCGGAGGGAAGAUCUGAGGCAAAGAGGUAGAGUUCACAGGUCCUACACCCCUCGCACCUACACAGUGUCCCUCCUCUGAUGCUGAGGCUCUCUCUGCCUUCCGAGGAGAAAGUGGCGACGUGUCCUGUGAAACCGCAGACUUAACACAUCUUCCAAAAGCCAGCUUGGCAGGAGGUCACUGCUAGAAGCACCUCUGAAAUAAUCUGAGCCGUCUUACCUGUUCCCCUUUUUCAGAUGGGAACACUGAGGCAGCCACCCUGCAGAGUGAGUCUGCAGUGCUCCUGAGCCACCCCCCUCCAGGCUUGGCAAACUCACUGCCUUCUUGUCUGUUGCCUUGACUGCAGGGAGGACCAGAGGUGCUCAUUUCUGGGAGGGUCUAGGAUCUGCCAGCUGCACAGUGUCCAAGUCAAGGGCUUCAGCAACGACAAUUAACAAAUUCCUUUCUCUUUGCAGAGAGCCUGUCACCUGUGCUGCCUUGAGAUGCUGACAUCUGAGGAUGCCCCAGACAGGGCCUGUGGCUGCUUUCUGAAAUAGUGCAGCACCUUCUCUGCUUCCUCCUCAACCUUCUCCUUCACAGCAGAACCCUGCCUCCUUCCUCUCCCCACAGGCUUGUUUCAGCAUUGAUUUGAUCAACUGAGCACCACGAGAACACAAACCACAUUCCUUUGUUUUUUCAUCACGUUACCCCCAGCACUUAGGACAGUGCCUGGCACAAAGGAGGUAGUCUGUAAAUAUUUGCGUAAUGAAUGAAUAAAGGAGGGCAUGAGUACAUCUCCUCUGCCCAGCACGGAUGACAGGCUGAGGGUUUGAAUCCAGGACUCUCUCACCGUAGCCCUCAUUCUCACUGCAUCCUCACCUUCGUCCUCCACCCCCCACCCCCCCACUGGGUUCCUUGGGGAUGGCAGGGGUGGAGUUCCUGGCAUCCAGUUCUGAGCAUCAGCUCUGCCAAGUAGUGGUGGCGGGGGGGUUUUCAUGAAAGAAUCCCCCUCGCUCCCUGUGAUGUUGGACAUUUUUCCUUGUCUGUGUAGUUUCAGGCUUUGUCUCUCUGGCCUUAUACAAUAUUUAAAAACAUUCAUUUUCCAGUUAAACAAACUGGAUUGGAUACUGUUGUUUGCAACUAAGAACCUUAAUAUUGGGUGAUCUUCCCAAUAUUUUGCAGAACAGCAGCAUCACCGCUUUUCCUGCCAUCAGACUGGGCCCUACCAGUUGUAAGAAGAAAACCCAUUGCAACACCUACCUCUUAAUGGCCACUCCAAGCUACACAAAAACCUGAGUGAUGUUUCAACAUUAAAGCCUUUUCUUUUUUUUUUUUUUUUUUUACUUUUGGGCCAGGUCAGAUUGAGGGGUAGGUUGUUCUCCUGGUCUCUCUGAAGGAGAAGGGAAGGAGCAUGAGGGUCAAUUGUCUGCUUAUCUAAGAAAUCCCCUUCCCUGAAGUUGUGUGUGUGUGUGUGUAUCUCUGUAUGUGUGUUGUAGGGUGGUGGUGGUGGUUUGUUAUUUCAGUUACAGCAAUAACAACUACCCAUUUAGUGGACACCGACCAUGUACCAGGCUCCAUGCUUAGCCUUUUACACGCAUUAUUUCAUUUAAUUCCCAAGAAUCCUGUGAAGGAGGGUGCAUUAUGGUCCCCAGUUUACAGAGGGGGAUAUGGAGGCACGGUGAUGUCACGUAACUGCCAUAUUGUUUUCCUGGGGCAACUAGAACAAAGGACUACAGACUGACUGGUUUAAACAACUGCAAUUUACCCUCUUAAAUUCUGGAGGCCAGAAGUGUGAGAUCAGGGUGUCCACAGGGCUGCGUUUGCUCUGAAGAAGCUGGGGAAGGAUCUGUUCCAGGCCUCUCUCCUGGCUUCUGGAAGCUCCUUGACUUGUGGUCACAUAAAUCCAGUCUUCACAUAGUGUUCUCCCGUCUGUCCCCUUUUUAAGGACACCAGUUGUAUUGGAUUAGGGCCCACACUGAUGACCUCAUCUUAACUUGAUUACCUUUGUAAAGAGCCCAUCUCCAAAUAAGGUCACAUUUGGAGGGACCUGGGGGUUACGACUCCAAGUAGCUUUUUUGGGAGGACACAGUUCAACCCAUAACAGCUGAUAAAUGGCAGAACCCAGGCAUAUGUGACAGACCCAAAGGCUUUGUCCUUUGGGAGGAAGAUUGUGUAAAUUAGAGCCCAGACUUUCCAGCCAGGCUAUAAAAGUCCUAAUUCUGGGUUUGUCUGAAUUUGGGAAUUUGGGGAUCUAAGAAGCAGCUUAUUAGGUAAGGUGGGCGUGGGGGUGAGAAAGGGUGAGGCAUCAAGCCCCCCAUCACUGUUUGUGACUGAGCUUAAUCCCAUUGGGAAUGCUGGGAGCAGGGCCAGACAAUUCCUCGCAGCAGCUAUCACCCCCUUUCCCUAGGAGAGCAAGUGUUUAUGCACCAGUGGAGAUAUUCAGGCACCAGUCUCCAUAUGGACUGAGGGUUUCCGGCUGAUCUGGGCCUGGGCCCUCCUUGUGUGGCUUCCAAGGAAGCCCUCAGGCAAAGAGAUGCAGACACUAGCACUUGGAAAUCAGCUGGUGGCACCGAAGGAGUCAGGUCCGGGUGCACCCCACUUAGGAGUUGGCUGGACCAGAACAGGGGAGACAGAGGAAUAGUUUCAGCAGCACAAACGCUGCGAGAACCCAGGUGGAGGCCCUUAAUCUCACCUGAAGAGGUCAAGGCUGGCGUCGCAGAGGAGGCAGCGCUCAUCCUGGAUUUUGAAGGAUGAACUGAAUUUUAUCAGGUCACCAGCUGCCAUGAAGAGAACAUAACACACCAACAAUGGAGAGAGGUCUGGAAUGGAUAGAGAUCUGAGGUUUUUCACCCAGUUGGAAAAUGGUACAGCAGGAGUGGCUGACAUGGCCCAGGGGUUGUAUAUAGAAUCACAAUGAUAGGAAAAGGGCAGUUCUGCUCUUGCCUUACCGCGUGAUCCUGGAGAGUGUCACCUGUCCCUCAGGUUCUCGUUUACAACAGAAGGUGGCGCCACGUGUGAUAAUUCAAGCAUCCCUUUUAACACUCAUGUAAUCAUGUAAUGCAGCCAAUAAACACUGCCACAAGGAUCUGUUUUACAGUUAUGCUCCUUAGAAGCAUUUAUGAAGCAUUUCACACGAAUUCUUCUAGUACUUGCUGGGAAUGUCCCUGCAGGUCCUGUGCUAUGCUGCCUGAACUUGGGAUGCCAAUUCAGCCACUGUUUUCUCCUCUGUAAGGUGGGGAUGACAAAAUCUGCUCUGCCCACUUCUCAGGAAUGCAUGAAGUAUGACAUUAGAGAAAGCCUGGCGAAGAAGUUUUUGUUUUUUGAGAGGGCAGCAUGGAGAAGGGGUUUCUUUCUUUUCUUUUCUUUUCUUUUUUUU